CGGGGUGUGGCGCAGCUUGGUAGCGCAUCUGCUUUGGGAGCAGAGGGUCGCCCGUUCGAAUCGGGUCACCCCGACCG
RNAcentral lists this transfer RNA (77 nucleotides) under Xylanimonas protaetiae. RNAcentral describes it as "Xylanimicrobium sp. FW10M-9 tRNA-Pro". It matches the Rfam family "tRNA". From Rfam's summary of the family: Transfer RNA (tRNA) molecules are approximately 80 nucleotides in length. The record is from RNAcentral. Lineage: Bacteria; Bacillati; Actinomycetota; Actinomycetes; Micrococcales; Promicromonosporaceae.